This 218-nucleotide ribosomal RNA is filed under the name uncultured bacterium. Its description in RNAcentral is "partial 16S ribosomal RNA". It matches the Rfam family "Bacterial small subunit ribosomal RNA", at positions 1283 to 1500 of the family's 1533-position model. The record is from RNAcentral.
GUUACUCAGUUCAGAUUGCAGGCUGNAACCCGCCUGCAUGAAGUCGGAAUUGCUAGUAAUCGCGGAUCAGCAUGCCGCGGUGAAUACGUUCCCGGGCCUUGUACACACCGCCCGUCACACCAUGGGAGCCGGUAAUACCCGAAGUCAGUAGUCCAACCACGUGAGGACGCUGCCGAAGGUAGGAUUGGCGGACUGGGGUGAAGUCGUAACAAGGUACC